AACUUAAGGAUGAGGGAGUGCAUUGGAACUCAUCCACCCUCUUCAAGGAUGGGUUAUUAGACACUUGUCCGUCCGUCAAACCCAUCUCCAUUUUAAUUUUCAUCUUCUGGAAACUAAAACUUGAGUCUUUCAUUUAAUCUUCAUCAUCGUAAGCCAUUUUUCGGAAUAUCGUCAUCUAUAUUGGAAUAUUACAUGGAAUAAAAGCAAUGGCCUUAACAGGAAGGAUGUUGAUUGCUUUGUCUUUGGUUUCUUUGCUUCUUCUUCUCUCGAUGGCAGAAGUUAAUGCUUGGGGAGCGUCUUGUUCCGCGGGCAAACCAGGGCCACCGGGACCUCCCGGACCCACUGGGCCCUCAGGUAGUCCAGGAGAUGGUGAACUCCUUGAAUAUAACAACUGGAAACAAUGUGCCUGGUACUCGGCUAACGGCAAUGACUAUGACACUAUCUAUACGUGCACAUUCACAAAGCGGGUGAGUGACUCCGCUCUUUGGGUCUACUAUGGCGGCAAUAUUCGUCUCUAUGGAUGCAGUGGAUGCUGUAAGAGAUGGUAUUUUACUUUCAAUGACAAUGAAUGUUCUCCUACACCUAUCGAUGGCGUGGUAUAUCAAGCCAACACUAACAACAUGAACCUGCACAGACACAGGAGUAUUUCAGGGUACUGCCACACAAUCGGAGCUGGAUCAAUUAAUGUGAAAUUCCUGGUCGGGGACUGCUCCGGGUAUGGAAACUACGAUGCAUACACGGGAUGGAAUAGUGCUUCUCGUAUCAUCAUUAAAGAGGUCCCUAAAUCAUCGUAUGGUUACUAACUUGAUCAAGACACUGCUUCCAGAAUAUUGACAAAUUUAAAUUAUUUACACAGUAAUCCAGAAGACCUAACCAAGUUUAAGGACCUUCCAUUUGUGGCAUGAUUUUCCCGGGACUUUGGAUAAUACUCCACCGCUACCAUUCGACUGGUGACUGAGUGGUGUGCAUUCGAAGAACGCGAUACGGCCAUUUUGAUUGUAGACAAUGGAAUAAUGCAACACCAGGGAAACUUUCAAUGUGAAGCUCAAAACAGACACAAUAUUAUCUUCUUGCUGUUGUCUUUUCGAACCCCUGAAGAAUAAAGACAUGACGCUGAAUUCUGGAAUUCUAAAUUUCAAAACUUCUUCAUUCUUUUUACGACGGUCUGGACGAAUACCAUAGAGGAAAUAUCCUCUGAAAAGGAUCGUUCUCACAAAUAUGACUAUAAAUAGCUGGAAAAUUAGCACCAGACUUUCUUAUCAUGAUCAUGUGUGUGUAUAUGUGUGAAGUCCAAAAUACAUUUCUGCAUGGAGUGCAUGUGGCUUUCAGCAAGACGGGGUUUAUUAUCUAUCAUGUUGAUGAUUCAAAACCUCACAGUGGACACAUCUUUAAAUUGUGUUCACCAAUCAUUGUGUACUUCUUAAUUAACCUGUCUAAAUAACUUCCAGUUAGUUUCUUCCACAAUAUAAUCUUAUGAGCAGAACUGUGAUGUUCUUUACAGGCCAGGGGUGUUUUUUAAAGUUUUUUUCCCCAGAUAUUAUUUACUUUAAAGUAUACAAAAUGUCCAUAUAUCGUUAUUAUCACCAUUAUAAAAAAUAUGCACUAUCUUUGAUUUAGACAAUGAAAGCAAAAUAAUAGAAAAUAUAUAAAAUAUAUAGAUCCUGAGUUUAUGACCUUUCCUACCCGAUUUGAAAUAGACCAAACGAAGUACUCUUUUCUGUUUUAAUUGAAUGUUAAAAAUCACCAAGGGAAAAGUUCUGUACAAAUUUUCAUUUGUAGAUAUGCAUUAUUUCAUUAUAUUUAUAUAUGGUAAGUGUACAUUACUGUCUUGUUGCUAGUUGUUAUUCUUAGAAUCACAAAUUAGGGCUUUUUAUUUUAAAUGGACACCUCUCGAAUCUAGUAUUUGUCACACCUCCACUGUUUUCGACAUAUAUCACGUCAAAGUCAGCUGGAUGACACUGCAUUUAAUACUCCUUAAAUUGGGAAUAAUGAAUUACGGAGAACAUUUUGUUGCAGAUCUAUCAUGAAUUUUUUCCUCAUUAUGUGAUAGUUGCUCGAAUAUAAGAAAUAUAAAAACCCAACCUUGACAAAAUUGUUCUGAAAGAAAGCAGGAAAAUAUAGAGAAGCGCAUGAGUGAAAGAUUGAACAAAAUAUGACCCAAAGAAAAGAAAGAUAUAUAUUAAGGGAGUUUCAAAUUGGCCAAAUCUGAAAUGUCAUUGUGAUGUAGUGGCGGAUAUCUAUCCCAUUCGUUUCCACAUGCAAAAUGAGUGAAAUGUCAAUUUUUGAAAAUGUUUGGCUCAGUAUGGUUUCUUUUUUUCCCCCAGGACCUAUAUUAAUAUGCUCUUCUUAGUAUAUUUUGAGUAGUACUCCGAGGGAGAAGUCUUUCAGGAGAAAGACAUAAACAUAAGUGAUAUUUUAUACGAGACUACGUCGCAAUCCACCGUCCAAAUUGAGAUUCGAACCAAUGUGACAUCAAUUUUUAUUCAGAAGAUAAAAUGUCUUGGUGAAAUUGUAAACAAGUGCAAAAUAUUCAAAUAAAUAACCUUUGCGAUUACCAAUGUUGUAAUGGAUGGUUUCUGUGUUUAACGUAAGGCCUAUACGUCUAACCUAAAGCCUGACAGAAUGGCAAGUAUUGAUUAAGUCGUGCCUAUAUGCCCAAAUGGUGUGUUCAUGUAUAUUACGCUGUAUAACAUCCGCCGCGACCAAAUCUACGGCUUAUUUAUUGAUUUAGAUUGAAUUCAAGAAGGAAAGGAUACCUUCUGUUUGACGAGUCCACAAGCAGAUCCAGCAGCUAUCCAUACCUGAAAAAUCGACAUUUUAUGGAAUUAUUAAAGGAAAUACGGAAUUUCUGAGUUCAGAUAGUUUAGAUAUAAUUUGAAAGGUUAUUUUGUGCAGGAGAAACAUCUGUAAUACGAUAUGGGACUUUGGAAAUACCCAGAGAAUUCUCCAAGAUCUACAAUGACGUUACUCUUGAUGUUGUGGCUUUGUAGCGUCAUAAAAGUGAACGCAUGGGGAUCGAGCUGUUCUAAAGGUCUUCCAGGCCCGGCUGGACCUCCCGGACCCACUGGGCCGUCAGGUAGUCCAGGAGAUGGUGAACUCCUUGAAUAUAACAACUGGAAACAAUGUGCCUGGUACUCGGCUAAUAACAAUGACUAUGACACUAUCUAUACGUGCACAUUCACAAAGCGGGUGAGUGACUCUGCUCUUUGGGUCUACUAUGGCGGCAAUAUUCGUCUCUAUGGAUGCAGUGGAUGCUGUAAGAGAUGGUAUUUUACUUUCAAUGACAAUGAAUGUUCUCCUACACCUAUCGAUGGUGUGGUAUAUCAAGCCAACACUAACAACAUGAACCUGCACAGACACAGGAGUAUUUCAGGGUACUGCCACACAAUCGGAGCUGGAUCAAUUAAUGUGAAAUUCAUGGUCGGAGACUGCUCCGGGUAUGGAAACUACGAUGCAUGCACGGGAUGGAAUAGUGCUUCUCGUAUCAUCAUUAAAGAGGUCCCUAAAUCAUCGUAUGGUUACUAGGAUGGCAAAACAAAUGCUUAACUUUUACUUCGAAAGUUUAGUUCCAGGAAAGGUGAAAAAUAACUUUGUCAUUCUUUUUAUGUUAGUGUGAAAGAAAAUCAUAAUAUUCAAAAUGUUUCCUUGAAAAGGAGGGAUAUUCAAAUAUCCUUAUAUUUGAAGUAUAACAAGAAAAAGCUCAAGUGUUUGGAAUAAACUUUCAUGCCACAUCAUAUUGUCGUAUAAAUUAAUUUGUAUGUGCUGCAUAAUCAAAACCUUUUCCGACUGCUUCCAGACAGUUACUUUAACAAUUCAAUCGUGAUGACCAGAACUCGACUUUUCUUCUAAAGAGGGAUUGUCAUAACAUCAGAUGGGUCUUUUAACGUUAAUACUGCACGACUUACCUGUUCCUUCGGCAAUCUUCCAUAUAAGAAUGUUCGACGUAUCACCCUUAGAUCCGCAACAGGAAACAGCCUACGAGAGCAACAGCCCUCGAGGCCCUCGAGACCGACGAAACCGACGACCCACGAGACCACCAAUUGGGAUCUCGCAGGCAUUCUGAAAACCGUUACCCGAGGGUUCACGCGUCGCGACGGCCCAAGCGACCGACAUGUCGGUUUAGCGGGUCUUCUGACGCAAUUACUCAUAGAAGAAAAUGUUCAUUUGUUAGUCUAAAUUUGUUAAUGUUACAACAUUAUCAGUUAUUAAUCUGUCAAGCAAUUCACAUUACCCUCUCAGUUUUUAGGACCGUCUUAUCAAUUGACAUAGCAUUUUGUUCAUCAUUAAUCGGAUACAUAAAAACUUUUCAAAUUACUGUAACCGCAAACAAAGUUAUGGUUCAGCAUUGUAUAAGAAAAUAAGACGUUAUAAAACUUUACAGUUAUGAGACUAGUUUUUAGCAAUAUUACUUAGUACUUGUGAUUACUAAUACAAAUAUAUUAUUGGUAUAGAGUAUUAUGUCAACAACUGCGAUCAGGCAUUUUCUACGUGUUUCACCUAAAAUCGAAUAUGUAUAAAUGUGUCACAAAUGGAUGUUGGAAAAAUUGUCGCUAUAAUUGACGAAGAGUUUCAUUUCAAGAACUCUGAUUAUUUUGUUUAGAUGAUGUUCAAAAUUAUGUUGUAAAUUUCUUUCCAAAAAAUUAUGAGACAUGUAUAUAUAUGUGCACCAUGUAUUCUGUUAUAUUUACAAAUAGACAUAGUUACGCACGGUCAAACAACACACCCAAUUGAAUUGAAUUGAAUACCUAACUAUUCAAUCACGUGACCUUCUCCGCAUCGAUUUAAGGAUUAACUAUUUGACGUCUUUUUACCAGUAGACGUAGGAUACUUGUUCUUCCAAGUUUUUAAUCGAUUGGUAGACAAAAAUAAACGAUGAGUAGCCUUCCAACUUCAACAAUUGUUAUUGCGCUUCGGACAGACAUGCACUUAUCUUGAAUGUACGAUGAUAAAACUUACAUUUCACCAAGUUCGUAUGUACUGUCCAUGUAAAGCAAUGGACAUGCUAUUUUCAAUGUACGAACUGCAUAGCAUUGAACAAACAUGAUUUAUUGACGGAAUUAACUAGAGAGAUAUUAUUAUUGGUGAUGUAAUCUUGUGGUUGACAUUAUUACAUCAUGAAAUACUUUAUUCAACUAUGGCUUCAAUAUGCUAAAUGAGAUACUGAAACAUAUACAUGAAGCGAUGUUUAUGAAUAUACAUGAGGCGACGUUUAAGGUUAGUCUUUCAUCAAAACAGACUUCUGUUUAAGUAAUAUGCAUAUUUCUGUAUGGAAUAUUUUGUGAAUAAAAAGAUUCGAAUUUU
RNA transcript from Strongylocentrotus purpuratus (purple sea urchin), 5301 nucleotides. It is a transcript of the gene named collagen triple helix repeat-containing protein 1, with no coding region annotated. The transcript has 7 exons. The record is from RefSeq and is a predicted model, not a curated record. Lineage: Eukaryota; Metazoa; Echinodermata; Echinoidea; Camarodonta; Strongylocentrotidae.